Non-coding RNA from Aspergillus luchuensis, 120 nucleotides. NCBI's taxonomy places the organism in Eukaryota, Fungi, Ascomycota, Eurotiomycetes, Eurotiales, Aspergillaceae. The record is from Rfam.
ACAUACGACCACAGGGUUUGGAAAACAGGGCUUCCCGUCCGCUCAGCCGUACUUAAGCCACACGCCGGGAGAUUAGUAGUUGGGUGGGUGACCACCAGCGAAUCCCUUCUGUUGUAUGUA